UGAGUGGCGAACGGGUGAGUAACACGUGAGUAACCUGCCCUCUUCUUUGGAUAACGCCCGGAAACGGGUGCUAAUACUGGAUAUUCACUGAUCUUCGCAUGGGGGUUGGUGGAAAGGUUUUUUCUGGUGGGGGAUGGGCUCGCGGCCUAUCAGCUUGUUGGUGGGGUGAUGGCCUACCAAGGCUUUGACGGGUAGCCGGCCUGAGAGGGUGACCGAUCACAUUGGGACUGAGAUACGGCCCAG
This 243-nucleotide ribosomal RNA is filed under the name uncultured bacterium. RNAcentral's name for it is "partial 16S ribosomal RNA". It matches the Rfam family "Bacterial small subunit ribosomal RNA", at positions 92 to 334 of the family's 1533-position model. The record is from RNAcentral.